GCAAUGUUUGAGGCGCUGGGAUCGAGAUUUUAUUUUAAUGCAUUGAGUCAAGUCCGCCAGACACUGCUGAGCUCACCACUAGGAGCACGGAUACUUAAAGAAACAACAACAGAUAAAAUCAGACAGUCGUUCCUUCCUAUCCUGCUGACUGGUCUGAUAUUAUCAUGGUGAGACGGCCCACUGUCCGGAACCAGGUGAGACGGCCCACUGUCCGGAACCAGGUGAGUCUGCCUGCGACCCGGAACCGGGUGAGUUUGCCUGUGAUCCGGAACCGAGUGAGUCUGCCUGUGAUCCGGAACAGAAUGAGGGUGAAAUUAACUGUGAACUGUGUGAGUCUGUCUACAGCUUGGAACCGAAUGAGUCUGCCUACGACCCGGAACUGAGUCUAGUUAACUAUGUGUAUGACACCACCUACUGGUGCUGAGUACUCGCUGACACUACCUACAGCAGAUUACGAAGCAGCCUGUGUUUCCUGUGCCCAGAGGGGGAGCCAGAUUCCUUUCAUGAGCAUCUGUGGAGCUGCAUCUGCACUGCCAAAGGAGAAUGCACAACAUUCCCAGAAUACGAACACAUACCGCUGUAGAUUAGACUAAAG
RNAcentral lists this long non-coding RNA (595 nucleotides) under Salmo salar (Atlantic salmon). RNAcentral describes it as "lncRNA (ENSSSAG00000102290.1, ENSSSAG00020080488.1, ENSSSAG00075066963.1)". Lineage: Eukaryota; Metazoa; Chordata; Actinopteri; Salmoniformes; Salmonidae. The record is from RNAcentral.